This 2902-nucleotide ribosomal RNA is filed under the name Klebsiella quasipneumoniae. RNAcentral describes it as "23S ribosomal RNA". It matches the Rfam family "Bacterial large subunit ribosomal RNA". The record is from RNAcentral. Lineage: Bacteria; Pseudomonadati; Pseudomonadota; Gammaproteobacteria; Enterobacterales; Enterobacteriaceae.
GGUUAAGCGACUAAGCGUACACGGUGGAUGCCCUGGCAGUCAGAGGCGAUGAAGGACGUGCUAAUCUGCGAAAAGCGUCGGUAAGGUGAUAUGAACCGUUAUAACCGGCGAUGUCCGAAUGGGGAAACCCAGUGCAAUUCGUUGCACUAUCGUUAACUGAAUACAUAGGUUAACGAGGCGAACCGGGGGAACUGAAACAUCUAAGUACCCCGAGGAAAAGAAAUCAACCGAGAUUCCCCCAGUAGCGGCGAGCGAACGGGGAGCAGCCCAGAGUCUGAAUCAGCUUGUGUGUUAGUGGAACGGUCUGGAAAGUCCGACGGUACAGGGUGAUAGUCCCGUACACCAAAAUGCACAGGCUGUGAACUCGAAGAGUAGGGCGGGACACGUGGUAUCCUGUCUGAAUAUGGGGGGACCAUCCUCCAAGGCUAAAUACUCCUGACUGACCGAUAGUGAACCAGUACCGUGAGGGAAAGGCGAAAAGAACCCCGGCGAGGGGAGUGAAAAAGAACCUGAAACCGUGUACGUACAAGCAGUGGGAGCACCUUCGGGUGUGACUGCGUACCUUUUGUAUAAUGGGUCAGCGACUUAUAUUCUGUAGCAAGGUUAACCGUAUAGGGGAGCCGCAGGGAAACCGAGUCUUAACUGGGCGUUAAGUUGCAGGGUAUAGACCCGAAACCCGGUGAUCUAGCCAUGGGCAGGUUGAAGGUUGGGUAACACUAACUGGAGGACCGAACCGACUAAUGUUGAAAAAUUAGCGGAUGACUUGUGGCUGGGGGUGAAAGGCCAAUCAAACCGGGAGAUAGCUGGUUCUCCCCGAAAGCUAUUUAGGUAGCGCCUCGUGAACUCAUCUUCGGGGGUAGAGCACUGUUUCGGCUAGGGGGUCAUCCCGACUUACCAACCCGAUGCAAACUACGAAUACCGAAGAAUGUUAUCACGGGAGACACACGGCGGGUGCUAACGUCCGUCGUGAAGAGGGAAACAACCCAGACCGCCAGCUAAGGUCCCAAAGUCAUGGUUAAGUGGGAAACGAUGUGGGAAGGCACAGACAGCCAGGAUGUUGGCUUAGAAGCAGCCAUCAUUUAAAGAAAGCGUAAUAGCUCACUGGUCGAGUCGGCCUGCGCGGAAGAUGUAACGGGGCUAAACCAUGCACCGAAGCUGCGGCAGCGACACUAUGUGUUGUUGGGUAGGGGAGCGUUCUGUAAGCCUGCGAAGGUGGCCUGUGAGGGUUGCUGGAGGUAUCAGAAGUGCGAAUGCUGACAUAAGUAACGAUAAAGCGGGUGAAAAGCCCGCUCGCCGGAAGACCAAGGGUUCCUGUCCAACGUUAAUCGGGGCAGGGUGAGUCGACCCCUAAGGCGAGGCCGAAAGGCGUAGUCGAUGGGAAACAGGUUAAUAUUCCUGUACUUGGUGUUACUGCGAAGGGGGGACGGAGAAGGCUAUGUUAGCCGGGCGACGGUUGUCCCGGUUUAAGCAUGUAGGCUGGUUAUCCAGGCAAAUCCGGAUAAUCAAGGCUGAGGUGUGAUGACGAGGCACUACGGUGCUGAAGUAACAAAUGCCCUGCUUCCAGGAAAAGCCUCUAAGCAUCAGGUAACAUCAAAUCGUACCCCAAACCGACACAGGUGGUCAGGUAGAGAAUACCAAGGCGCUUGAGAGAACUCGGGUGAAGGAACUAGGCAAAAUGGUGCCGUAACUUCGGGAGAAGGCACGCUGGUGUGUAGGUGAAGUCCCUGCGGAUGGAGCUGAGACCAGUCGAAGAUACCAGCUGGCUGCAACUGUUUAUUAAAAACACAGCACUGUGCAAACACGAAAGUGGACGUAUACGGUGUGACGCCUGCCCGGUGCCGGAAGGUUAAUUGAUGGGGUUAUCCGUAAGGAGAAGCUCUUGAUCGAAGCCCCGGUAAACGGCGGCCGUAACUAUAACGGUCCUAAGGUAGCGAAAUUCCUUGUCGGGUAAGUUCCGACCUGCACGAAUGGCGUAAUGAUGGCCAGGCUGUCUCCACCCGAGACUCAGUGAAAUUGAACUCGCUGUGAAGAUGCAGUGUACCCGCGGCAAGACGGAAAGACCCCGUGAACCUUUACUAUAGCUUGACACUGAACAUUGAGCCUUGAUGUGUAGGAUAGGUGGGAGGCUUUGAAGCGUGGACGCCAGUCUGCGUGGAGCCAACCUUGAAAUACCACCCUUUAAUGUUUGAUGUUCUAACGUUGGCCCCUUAUCGGGGUUGCGGACAGUGUCUGGUGGGUAGUUUGACUGGGGCGGUCUCCUCCCAAAGCGUAACGGAGGAGCACGAAGGUUAGCUAAUCCUGGUCGGACAUCAGGAGGUUAGUGCAAUGGCAUAAGCUAGCUUGACUGCGAGCGUGACGGCGCGAGCAGGUGCGAAAGCAGGUCAUAGUGAUCCGGUGGUUCUGAAUGGAAGGGCCAUCGCUCAACGGAUAAAAGGUACUCCGGGGAUAACAGGCUGAUACCGCCCAAGAGUUCAUAUCGACGGCGGUGUUUGGCACCUCGAUGUCGGCUCAUCACAUCCUGGGGCUGAAGUAGGUCCCAAGGGUAUGGCUGUUCGCCAUUUAAAGUGGUACGCGAGCUGGGUUUAGAACGUCGUGAGACAGUUCGGUCCCUAUCUGCCGUGGGCGCUGGAGAAUUGAGGGGGGCUGCUCCUAGUACGAGAGGACCGGAGUGGACGCAUCACUGGUGUUCGGGUUGUCAUGCCAAUGGCACUGCCCGGUAGCUAAAUGCGGAAGAGAUAAGUGCUGAAAGCAUCUAAGCACGAAACUUGCCCCGAGAUGAGUUCUCCCUGAGACUUUAAGUCUCCUGAAGGAACGUUAAAGACGAUGACGUUGAUAGGCCGGGUGUGUAAGCGCAGCGAUGCGUUGAGCUAACCGGUACUAAUGAACCGUGAGGCUUAACCUU